CCUACGGGAGGCAGCAGUGAGGAAUAUUGGUCAAUGGGCGAGAGCCUGAACCAGCCAAGUCGCGUGAGGGAGUACUGCCCUAUGGGUUGUAAACCUCUUUUGUCGGGGAGCAAAAGCCGGACGUGUCCGGCUGUGAGAGUACCCGAAGAAAAAGCAUCGGCUAACUCCGUGCCAGCAGCCGCGGUAAUACGGAGGAUGCGAGCGUUAUCCGGAGUUAUUGGGUUUAAAGGGGGCGCAGGCGGAUUUUUAAGUCAGCGGUAAAAUCGUGGGGCUCAACCCCAUCCAGCCGUUGAAACUGGGGAUCUAGAGUGUGCGAGAGGUAUGCGGAAUGCGUGGUGUAGCGGUGAAAUGCAUAGAUAUCACGCAGAACCCCGAUUGCGAAGGCAGCAUACCGGUGCACAACUGACGCUCAGGCACGAAAGCGUGGGUAUCGAACAGGAUUAGAUACCCGGGUAGUC
RNAcentral lists this ribosomal RNA (458 nucleotides) under uncultured bacterium. Its description in RNAcentral is "partial 16S ribosomal RNA". It matches the Rfam family "Bacterial small subunit ribosomal RNA", at positions 338 to 795 of the family's 1533-position model. The record is from RNAcentral.